UGGCGGGGCGCGGGCGGCAGCCGUUCCCGCUGGGCUGCUCGCGCCUUGCCGGCCGCUGUUACGCAAUGGAAAUUGCGAAAGCCCCGCCCGCCCUCCGAGCCCUCUAGGGGUGAGUGCGGCGCCUCUGGCGGAUUUUUUGUCGUCUUUCCUUACCUUCAAGCACGAAUCUUUCUACGGCUGUCUUUUCUAAAGGAUAAGUGGGAUUUUUCUCUCCAUCAUGUGAAAACUGUCCAAACGAUACGAACGUUUUGCAAAUCCUUAAAGUAUAACAACUUAUUUCCAAUUUCGGUACGUCCUUGAAGCGGGGCUUUCGACUUCAGAAAGUUAAAAUGUCACUUCUUAAUUUCAGAAAAUUUUGCUGAUCAAGAUUUGGUAAUUAUGAAGAGUUCUUGCUCAUCUAGUUCUUGAUCUGGCUCAUUUUACAGUUGAGGAUACUGAAGCCCAGGGAAGUUCACUUGUCUAUGUAGCUUUUUCCCAGUAUGUAGGUUUCCUGAAUGAUUUCUACCAAAAUGUCCUUGUUUUUAUUGUUAGUGUGAGUUUAGACUGAUACAGAUACAUUUGGAAGUAAUUUACAGGUUUUGGAAGGACACUUGUAGGAUUGACUUACUAUCUGAAUUUAGCAUUGGUAACGGAAAACGACCUGUAAAACGAGAACCAAAUACGCUGGAAGCCACCUUGCAGUGAGCAAGACUGGGUUUGGCUUCAGCUGUGCAACUUGGAGCAUUUUAGCUUACUAACAUUGAUCCCCUUUUAGGUGAGUAUUGGCCUUGCAGUUUGGAUUCGCAGGAAAAAUUGUAUGUUGCUGCUAGUAAGGUAAAACCAUCAAGUGCCCCAGACCAGAACUUGAAACCAGACUCAGAAGAUGGCAUACAAUCAGAGUCCAGACUUUGAGAGGUUACAAAGGAUGUUCAAUGGAGAGGACUUGGAGAAGUUUUCUUGGGAAGGUGUCCAGGGAAUAGAAAUUUUGGGGGAAGAUACAUGCUUAAGUACUGGAAAGCGGCCCUGGGAAUUGGUAUUGUGGGUCAUUCUAGGCUUUGCAGAAGCUCUACUUUGUAGCAGGGGCAUGAACAGGCGUUUCAUCUGUAUCACCCAGAGGUGGUUUUUUAGUUUUAAAUUCUGUAUUAACGGUUGUUUUCUUUCCAGACUGCAAAAUUCAAAAUGGGGCUCAAGGUAUUCGUUUCAUCUACACCAGAGAAGGCAGACCGAGUGGCGAGGCUUUUGUUGAACUUGAAUCAGAAGAUGAAGUCAAAUUGGCCCUGAAAAAAGACAGAGAAACUAUGGGACACAGAUAUGUUGAAGUAUUCAAGUCAAACAACGUUGAAAUGGAUUGGGUGUUGAAGCAUACUGGUCCAAAUAGUCCUGACACGGCCAAUGAUGGCUUUGUACGGCUUAGAGGACUCCCCUUUGGAUGUAGCAAGGAAGAAAUUGUUCAGUUCUUCUCAGGGUUGGAAAUCGUGCCAAAUGGGAUAACAUUGCCGGUGGACUUCCAGGGGAGGAGUACGGGGGAGGCCU
Ailuropoda melanoleuca (giant panda) is the source of this 1512-nucleotide long non-coding RNA. RefSeq lists it as uncharacterized. NCBI's taxonomy places the organism in Eukaryota, Metazoa, Chordata, Mammalia, Carnivora, Ursidae. The record is from RefSeq and is a predicted model, not a curated record. The transcript is spliced from 3 exons.